Molecule: ribosomal RNA, 449 nt
Filed under: uncultured organism
Description: partial 16S ribosomal RNA
Rfam family: Bacterial small subunit ribosomal RNA
Source: RNAcentral
CACUCCUACGGGAGGCAGCAGUGGGGAAUCUUGCGCAAUGGGCGAAAGCCUGACGCAGCCAUGCCGCGUGAAUGAUGAAGGUCUUAGGAUUGUAAAAUUCUUUCACCGGGGACGAUAAUGACGGUACCCGGAGAAGAAGCCCCGGCUAACUUCGUGCCAGCAGCCGCGGUAAUACGAAGGGGGCUAGCGUUGCUCGGAAUUACUGGGCGUAAAGGGAGCGUAGGCGGACAUUUAAGUCAGGGGUGAAAUCCCGGGGCUCAACCUCGGAAUUGCCUUUGAUACUGGGUGUCUUGAGUAUGAGAGAGGUGUGUGGAACUCCGAGUGUAGAGGUGAAAUUCGUAGAUAUUCGGAAGAACACCAGUGGCGAAGGCGACACACUGGCUCAUUACUGACGCUGAGGCUCGAAAGCGUGGGGAGCAAACAGGAUUAGAAACCCGUGUAGUCCCAUG